Neogale vison (American mink) is the source of this 104-nucleotide small nuclear RNA. The record is from Ensembl. NCBI's taxonomy places the organism in Eukaryota, Metazoa, Chordata, Mammalia, Carnivora, Mustelidae.
GUGCUCGCUUCAGCAGCACAUAUACUAAAAUUGGAAUGAUACAGAGGUUAUUAGCAUGCCCCUGUACAAGGAUGAGAAACCAUCACCACAAUCAAGAUAAUCAA